AGCUGGAAACCAAGAGAAAAAAAAAACAUCAGACUGGGAGAGGAAAGAUGCACAAGCCUCUCAGUGGAGGAAAGGUUCAGUGUGCUGCCGCAUGGCCAUCCCAGCAUUCAUGGGGCUGAGACAUGAGGAUUAUGAAUCAAAGGAAGGACUUGCAUGGCUCCACUCGCCAAGGUCUAGAGAAUUGGACCACUGUUUGGAUUGUUAGUCCUGCCCUAAGCCUAGAUUCUGAUUCAGCAGCUCCUCUUGCACAGGGACCAGGAAUCUGCACUUUAGCAAGCAUACCAGUUGAUUCUACCUACAGAGUCUAUAGACUAACAUCCAAAGAGUCCGACCUGCAGUAAAUCUCAGCUACGAAGUAAAGCAUGAUGGUGCUACAGGGUGACGGCAGGGGCCUUCACUGUGCCCUCCACUCUCUACCCUCUGAUCCAUCAUUGACUUGGAUACCAAUUACUAAUGAUAUCAUGUCCAUUGCAGUUACAACUUAGGAUGUGGACAACUCAUGCUUUUAUACCGUGUAAAAUAUAAAUAAAGGCAUCCUGAGGAAA
Molecule: long non-coding RNA, 545 nt
Organism: Peromyscus eremicus (cactus mouse)
Lineage: Eukaryota; Metazoa; Chordata; Mammalia; Rodentia; Cricetidae
Exons: 3
Source: RefSeq, a predicted model, not a curated record